This 635-nucleotide long non-coding RNA is filed under the name Brachypodium distachyon (stiff brome). RNAcentral describes it as "long non-coding RNA (BDIS_LNC004760)". Lineage: Eukaryota; Viridiplantae; Streptophyta; Magnoliopsida; Poales; Poaceae. The record is from RNAcentral.
CGCCUCUUUCCCUCAUGUUCGUUUCCAACCUAGAGCAGCACUUCUGUUACGUUCCUCUUUUUCUCCCUAAACCUCAAUCCUUAAAUUGAAAAUUCCCAAUUAGCCCAAUCCUGUUAGGCUCCAGCCUCCGGCGAGGACAGUGCUCAGAUGACGGGCAGUUCAAGCCGGGCUGCACCUCAGGCGGACCGCGCGGCACGGACUACAAACGUACGCCAGUGCGGGGACGACGGCAAUUCCAAUGGGGCUUCAACUCCGGCAGACAUGUGACGGAGGCUCGACCAAGAGACGUCAGACAACCAGGUCCGCUAAUCUACACCCUCUUGCCAUCUUCUGGUACUGUCUAUGUACGACUCGGCAUGGAUUUUGGACUUAAUUUGUUGUCGACUCAAUGUAAUCUCUGAUAGUGACUUGUGUCUUGUUAAUUUAUCAUUGAAUUUUGUGUUUAUUUAUGUACAGCUAUCACUAUUGUGAACUAAUUAAGAUUGUCGUGGUUUUUUCUUUGUGAACAUUAGCACUUAUUUUUUUCAUAAUAUGUAUUUACAUAUUCGUUACCUGCGGUCGGCAUACUAUAAUCAUGCACAGGCUUUGACGAAGCACUAGCUCUGCCUUUGCAGAAAUAUACAUUGUAAUUCUAC